RNAcentral lists this unclassified non-coding RNA (208 nucleotides) under soil metagenome. RNAcentral describes it as "partial contains 5.8S ribosomal RNA, internal transcribed spacer 2, and large subunit ribosomal RNA". The record is from RNAcentral.
AACCAUUCUCACCUGCGGCUAGACCUGCGGAAGGAUCAUUACCGAGUUUACAACUCCCAAACCCCUGUGAACAUACCUAUACGUUGCCUCGGCGGAUCAGCCCGCGCCCUGUAAAAAGGGACGGCCCGCCCGAGGACCCUAAACUCUGUUUUUAGUGGAACUUCUGAGUAAAACAAACAAAUAAAUCAAAACUUUCAACAAUGGAUCU